Molecule: transfer RNA, 75 nt
Filed under: Aliarcobacter butzleri
Lineage: Bacteria; Pseudomonadati; Campylobacterota; Epsilonproteobacteria; Campylobacterales; Arcobacteraceae
Also listed under: 1 other name
Description: tRNA-Gly
Rfam family: tRNA
About the family: Transfer RNA (tRNA) molecules are approximately 80 nucleotides in length. Their secondary structure includes four short double-helical elements and three loops (D, anti-codon, and T loops).
Source: RNAcentral
GCGGGCAUAGCUCAGUGGUAGAGUGCAACCUUGCCAAGGUUGAUGUCGCGAGUUCGAAUCUCGUUGCCCGCUCCA